GCUAGUGGGUGGGGUAAAGGCUCACCAAGGCGACGAUCUGUAGCGGGUCUUAGAGGAUGAUCCGCCACACUGGAACUGAGACACGGUCCAGACUCCUACGGGAGGCAGCAGUGGGGAAUUUUGGACAAUGGGCGCAAGCCUGAUCCAGCCAUGCCGCGUGAGUGAAGAAGGCCUUCGGGUUGUAAAGCUCUUUCGGCCGGGAAAAAAUCGCUUGGGUUAAUACCCUGAGUGGAUGAUGGUACCGGAAUAAGAAGCACCGGCUAACUACGUGCCAGCAGCCGCGGUAAUACGUAGGGUGCGAGCGUUAAUCGGAAUUACUGGGCGUAAAGCGUGCGCAGGCGGUUUUGUAAGACAGGCGUGAAAUCCCCGGGCUCAACCUGGGAACUGCGUUUGUGACUGCAAGGCUAGAGUAUGGCAGAGGGGGGUGGAAUUCCACGUGUAGCAGUGAAAUGCGUAGAGAUGUGGAGGAACACCAAUGGCGAAGGCAGCCCCCUGGGCCAAUACUGACGCUCAUGCACGAAAGCGUGGGGAGCAAACAGGAUUAGAUACCCUGGUAGUCCACGCCCUAAACGAUGUCAACUAGGUGUUGGGUGGGUAAAACCAUUUGGUACCGUAGCUAACGCGUGAAGUUGACCGCCUGGGGAGUACGGCCGCAAGGUUAAAACUCAAAGGAAUUGACGGGGACCCGCACAAGCGGUGGAUGAUGUGGAUUAAUUCGAUGCAACGCGAAAAACCUUACCUACCCUUGACAUGCCAGGAACUUGCCAGAGAUGGCUUGGUGCCCGAAAGGGAGCCUGGACACAGGUGCUGCAUGGCUGUCGUCAGCUCGUGUCGUGAGAUGUUGGGUUAAGUCCCGCAACGAGCGCAACCCUUGUCGUUAAUUGCCAUCAUUUAGUUGGGCACUUUAACGAGACUGCCGGUGACAAACCGGAGGAAGGUGGGGAUGACGUCAAGUCCUCAUGGCCCUUAUGGGUAGGGCUUCACACGUCAUACAAUGGUCGGUACAAAGGGUUGCCAAGCCGCGAGGCGGAGCCAAUCCCAGAAAGCCGAUCGUAGUCCGGAUCGCAGGCUGCAACUCGCCUGCGUGAAGUCGGAAUCGCUAGUAAUCGUGGAUCAGCAUGUCACGGUGAAUACGUUCCCGGGUCUUGUACACACCGCCCGUCACACCAUGGGAGCGGGUUCCGCCAGAAGUAGGUAGCCUAACCGCAAGGAGGGCGCUUACCACGGCGGGGUUCGUGACUGGGGUGAAGUCGUAACAAGGUA
RNAcentral lists this ribosomal RNA (1263 nucleotides) under metagenome. RNAcentral's name for it is "bacterial SSU rRNA". It matches the Rfam family "Bacterial small subunit ribosomal RNA", at positions 244 to 1498 of the family's 1533-position model. The record is from RNAcentral.